CAUCGCCCACUGGCUACUGGUAGGAACUAUAUAUAGGCUUUACAUUAUUAUUCGCUUACAAAGAUUGUUCAAAUGGACGUCAUGGAAAGAUAUAUUAUCAAACGCCUUUAUGAGAUCGUUUAGCAAGGAAUGAUCUCACUGCGGAUUGUAUCUUGAUUGCUGAUUGGUUCUUCUUAUCAAGCUUUGCGCGCCAUACCCUUUGGACCUGGCAGACAAGGUACCGCUUCCUGAGCUGUGGUGCUCUGGACUACCGUAGGUUAUCAAAGUUUUAGAAAUGGCUCUGUUAAACGUUGACUGACAGAUUGGGUCACUGAUGUUAAAUCCUGCAUAACAAAAGAAAGGAACAAGUUGCAACAACACGCUGAGGCAAUACAAGUUGCUGCAACCAGUUGUUGUUGCUGGAGCAAUACAAGUUGCUGCAACCAGUUGUUCGUGGGGGGCAGCGCACAGCACUACACUGUUUCAUCAACCAGGAACAACAUUUUCCGGUAAUUUCCGACAAUCGGUAAGUAGAAGGGUCAUUUCCGACCGUGACGCAAUGGGUGAAUCAGUCUAAUGAUAAAAUUAUCACACUUUGACAUUAAACUGAAAGAAUGUUCUUUUCAAGUUUAAUGCAGUGUGACUGUCGUGAAGACGUCACAGUGCGACGGCGUUCGCGCAAAGCAAUCCCGGGGUUCCCGCCUCUACUGUUUUGCAGUAUUUAUAACAAACGCCCAGAAACGAGAUGUUUGGUAAAUAGUAUUUAUAAGAUCCGCAAGAACUUCCUCGGCCGGGUGUUGAAAACGUUGGAUGCGCAUAGUCAAGAAAAACAGUCAAAAAAACCGUUAUCAAUAUUAUCGAUAUGAUUAUUGGCUGGUGCUGGUGAAACUUUCUUUAAAAACAACGCGAUAUAUUGUGCCUUUCUUCUUUUCAUCACCCCAUUCUCUGGUCUGGUGAGGAUAUAGCAAAGUGCUAACUGUAAAAAUAGAUUUAUAAAAGUAUAUAAAAUAUAUAGUGUAGAUUGUGUUACUGGAUGACAUCUUAGUUGACGUUAUAAAGUAAAUUAUUUCCACUCGGAGGGCUAGUCAAAUGUUUGUCAUUUGUCAAGUUGAUCGUCCAUGCAGGUUAUACUAAAUAUUCACUAAUAUUUUUUUACCAUCAGUUUAAAGGGAGUAUAUACAUUCUCUAUCUUAAGUAAAAGUGCAAUUAUAACACAAUAAAACACAAUACAACGAAAUUCAAACCGAUUCUGUAGUAUAUGCGCGGCUACAAGAGUGCCCUUUCACCAAACCAGAACCGUCGUUAGAAGCUUAAUUGCAUGGGGGGGAUGCAUAUUCCUCUAAUACCCGACUGAUUUAGCUAUAGUUUCUACUGUCGUACGAACAUGAAUAUAUGAAUAUAUACCCCCCUCCCCCCAAUUAAGCUUUUAGCGACGGCCCUGCACCAAACUGACCCUUUUACAUCGUUUCAGCGCCCCUGCAUGCCUGUUGUACUUUCGUAGGCUUGAGCUAUACAUAUAGCUCUAAAAGCCUAUAAUGUUCUGUCUAGGCCUGUCUAGGCCCUAGUAUAACUUGGCUUGAAAAGGAUUUUUUUUGCAUUUCUUCUUGAAAAGCAAUGCGUAAUUGUUAGAGUCAAAGAGUAAUAACAAGGGAUGUGAAAGUGGAAGCGCCACAAAUAAAAAACAUCGCAUCGCAUCACUGCAUGGCGUUAUAAAGUACUUCUAGGCUAUACAUGCAUGCAACGCGGCAGGCAUAACUGCAGAAAUAAAGCAAUCCUUGUAUUUCACCAUGCAGUGUCCAGUAAUAUAACAUGGGCGUAAUCACAGUAAUCCCACGAGCAAGAUUGCCUUGCAUGACACAACUUGGCGUACACGACGCGAUUUUUGUAGUACAAUUUUAGUCUGCCGAUUUUGAUAUAGCUGUUUUGAUAUACAGGGUGUCCCAAAAAAAAAGCAACCACUUAAAUAUGCAGAACAUUAAAAAUCGUACACAAGUUUUCCUUGACAAGUGAAAAGCUGGCAUGACUAGCGUAAUAAGCUCAUAAUCAUAGUAGCUGGUGAUAUAGGAAUUGUUAAUUACAUUAUAUUCAAUGGUUUCAUGCAAUGGUUUAUUUAAAUUGUGUGCAAUUGGCGCGACUGAGUAAGGCUUUUUUAAGCGUUGCGCUUCAAUUAUGAGACGAGUGCAUUAGGAACAAUAGAUAAUCAUUCCAGAUCUCUCAUUACCUAUUGUUUCAAAUGCUGCGCUCCACACCGUAAUAUUGAUGGCCUCGAGUUGACUUCACUCCGUCGAUUGGUGAAUUGAAAAUAUCCAACCAAUCACCUGCGUUCAUUUGAUCCGAUGAUACUGUUUAGCCAAUGAAUUACACGCAUUUCCAGAUUCCCCACCCAUGCAAUGAAAAUCUAGACUAAAACUGAUUCAAACACUUGACAAGAAUACGUUAUCGCAAGAACAAGAUGUUUUCGAAAUGCGAGUUGUGAAGGGUUCGAAAAAAGCAAUCUCGCUUCUCCAGGGAAACCUCUCAAAAUCAACUGACAAUUGCUUGCUAGAAAUCUGACAGCGGAGCUGCUCGUUAAGAUGACUUAAAAAUUGAACAGCCAUUCGAGAUCGCCUCCAGGAAUCUCAAUAAAAGGACUUCUCCGCUAAUUUAUUGAUGUUUGCACAUCAGACGUGAACUUCUGUGAAUUCAUCUUAGCGACUGACUUAACCAGACCAAUUCUAACAAUAUGGGGGCAAUUACGCACAGACGAUACUGCUUUGUCCUCAAAAUAAUUGGGGUUACAAUCGAAUUUGAUGCAGGAUUUUGAACUGACUUUAAAACAGCUCUCGAACACGAGGUCCGAAUUAAGCGAGUCGUAAGGUGUCGUCUGAGCCAAAGAGACUCACGUCAAUUCAGAGUGACGAUCGUUCCUAUAUAAAAACGACGACCGAACAGCAUACAAAAAACGAAGAAUAACUAUUGCAUACGAAAAACGAUCUCCGAACGACGACUACCAACAGCUACGCCAUGCAGAGAAUGCGGAUUAAAUAUUGCCCACGAAAAACGAUCUCCGAACGACGACUACCAACAGCUACGCCAUGCAAAAAAUGAGGAUUAAAUAUUGCCGACGAAGAACGAUCACCGAACGACAACCGCACCAUGAUGGCCAGCACCAACGCCAUGCAAGGAUUGAGGAUUAAAUAUCGCCGACGAAAAAGGGUCACCGCACGACGACCGCACGACGACGCAAUGCAAAGAUUCGACGAUUACAGUGCGACUACGAAGUAGAUGACCUGGCUUUCAAAGUUUGUGUCUUAUUUGUAUUUGGGGGCCCCUUAGGAAUUUUUGACAAACUUUGCACUAUCCGGACUUUUUAUACCUACUAUAUAACUUGCAGUAUUGCUGUGUUGGCGAGCAUUUCGCGGAAUUAGUUCGGUCACAAGCGGUUAUAUGAUACAGGCAUAAAGGGUUGGGCCCCAUAAAUUGCGGAAUAUAGAAAAUAUUACUAUAACUUUGAUGAACAUUGUAAAUAUGAAGUAAAUACCAGCAACGGUUUUUGGAUAUAGGAAAUAUUGCUAACUUCAUGAACAUUGUAAAUAUAAAGUAAAUACAAGCACAUUUUCAUAACGCGGAAUUAAGUUCGGUCAAACGUACAAUAAGCGGUUAUAAUACAGGCAUAAAGGGUUGGGCCCCAUAAAUUGCGGAAUAUAGAAAAUAUUGAUAACUUUCAUGAACAUUGUAAAUAUGAAGUAAAUGUAAGCACAGGUUUUUGGAUAUAGGAAAUAUUGCUAACUUCAUGAACAUUGUAAAUAUAAAGUAAAUACAUGCAUGCAAGCACAUUUUCGUAACGCGGAAUAAUUAAGUUCGGUCAAUGAACAUUGUAAAUAUAAAGUAAAUACAAGCACAAUUAUAAAAUAUUGCUAGCUUCAUGAACUUGUAAAUAUAGGAAAUACUGCUAGCUUCAUGAACAUUGUAUUGUAACGGGAUCGUCGUUUUUAAAAGAGAAAAGGAUGGAUACAAAAGCUUUUAUGACAAAGGAGGAAAAAAAAGUAAAAAAAUGUUAAAAACAAAAAAAAAUCCAAAUUUUUUUAUGAAUAUAGCAAAAUACGCUAUAUGGUAAGUAAAGCAGAGUUCUUAAAUGAACUUGUUGUGCAAGUAAGUGAUAAAACUCUUUGUAAAUGAACAAUUGCUGUUAAUAGAAGUACUGUAGUUACAAAAGAAAGCAUAAUCUAUAAAUUUAUAGAAUAUGGCUUCUUAAAACAAAAAUGUAACUAGAAAUAACUAGGACUUUCCAUUUUAGGGUAGUUAGUUAUGCACCUUUUUUUUCAGGGUAGUCAAAAUUUAGACAAACGAUCCAGGCAACUGGACAUAUGCAUAAACCUUGUUAAUAUAAAGUAAAACAAGCGUAGUUUAAGGAUGCUGAAGCUAUGAAGAUGGAUGGCACAAACGUCGAUCGUGGCUAACUUUAACUAACACUCGCUUUUCAGGAAACUAACACCAUCUUCUCUUUUAGAACACUAACCCCUAUUUUUUUUAGAAUACUAACACCAUUUUCUCUUUUAGAAUACUAACCAAAUUUUUCUUUUUUAGAAUACUAACACCAUUUCCUCUUAUUUAGAAUACUAACAACAUUUUCUCUUUUUUAGAAUACUAACACCAUUUUUUAGGCGAAUACUAACAGCCCCGUUCUCUUAUUUAGGGUACUAACAUAUUUCAUACUAUUUUUGUCUCUUUUCUAGAGUAGUUAAUAGUCUUACUAACCAUUCUAUUUUAGGUUACUAACUCCCUAUGUCAUAUUACUAUUGUCUCGUUUCAGGGGUGAUGAUUAGCCUCAAGGUAAGGUUACUAACAUCUUUUUCAGAUUGACGUCUGCGAUGCUGAAAUAAGAGCCACGGCAUUAAGACUUGGAGUAGAAGAAUCUUCCAACUGAUAAAAGCCUAGUCUAGACAUGAGGAAAGAGAUUGUCGUGAAGAGAUGGUUGAGAAAGAAUGACCUGUUCGUAUUGGAUACGUAUUCCGUUAUUCAAGAAGCUGAUGUGAAGUCUUUAUUGGAAAGGCGUUUGAAACACAUCAAACGGUAAAUAUAGUUGACUUGAAACUUUUAGAAUACUAACCAAAAUUUCCUUUUUUAGAAUACUAACACCAUUUCCUCUUAUUUAGAAUACUAACAACAUUCUCUCUUUUUUAGAAUACUAACAACAUUUCUUCUUUAGAACACUAACAACAUUUCCUCUUAUUUAGAAUACUAACACCAUUUUCUCCUAUUUAGGAUACUAACACCAUUUUCUUCUUUAGAAUACUAACACCAUUUUUUAGGCGAAUACUAACAGCCCCGUUCUCUUAUUUAGGGUACUAACAUAUUUCAUACUAUUUUUGUCUCUUUUCUAGAGUAGUUAAUUGUCUUACUAACCAUUCCAUUUUAGGUUCUAACUCCCUAUGUCAUAUUACUAUUGUCUCGUUUCAGGGGUAAGGUUUAGCCUCAAGGUAAGGUUACUAACAUCUUUUUCAGAUUGACGUCUGCGAUGCUGAAAUAAGAGCCACGGCAUUAAGACUUGGAGUAGAAGAAUCUUCCAACUGAUAAAAGCCUAGUCUAGACCUGAGGAAAGAGAUUGUCGUGAAGAGAUGGUUGAGAAAGAAUGACCUAUUCGUGCUGGAUACGUUAUUCAAGAAGCUGAUGUGAAGUCUUCGUUGGAAAGGCAUUUGAAACACAUAAACAAACGUAUCAACAUGGCGAAUUUCUUCCGAUGCAGAAUGUGUGAGCGUGUUGUUUGUAAACGGCGGUUCCUCGAAGCCUUUUCGUGCCACCUGAGUCCUGGUUUUUACGCAAUGUAUUUUCCACUUCAAGUCUUCGACAUCAUAAUGAAAGAACUCUGGACGUUUUAGAUUAUAACGGCGAACCUAAAUGACGGUAAAAUGUGUAGACAUUUGCUGUACACAAUAUCAUAAUAUUAGGUGCAUAUUUUACUGUGAAAAGUAUAUAAUUCACAGCUUUUUAUUUCGCAACUGUUUGUAACAAUUUAAUUCCAGUGCUCAACACCAAGCAAAAAUGCAUGCAUGCAUGGUAUAUUUUCGGCCAUUGAUCUUCACUGUGAAUUCCAUCCUUUUUGGCUGAAAUGUUUGCAGUAUAAACGUUCAACUUAAGAUGCGCAAAAAACCAGGUUAGGAUCACCGAUAAAUCUUAAAACCAAACUUAAUGUUAAAUCUAAACAUUAAAUCUAAACUUCUAGGUUAUUGUAGGCAUUACAGUCACUCAGGAUGAGAAUUCACAGUGAAUUUGAUCUUAAAAUUUUCUGAUAUUUCGGCAUUAAUUUUCCCUGUCGUUUGUGUCAGUACACCGAAAAGAAGAGCACUGGGAUACCU
Molecule: long non-coding RNA, 6314 nt
Filed under: Dendronephthya gigantea
Lineage: Eukaryota; Metazoa; Cnidaria; Anthozoa; Malacalcyonacea; Nephtheidae
Description: uncharacterized LOC114518972, transcript variant X3
Source: RNAcentral